Molecule: ribosomal RNA, 1911 nt
Filed under: Leifsonia xyli
Lineage: Bacteria; Bacillati; Actinomycetota; Actinomycetes; Micrococcales; Microbacteriaceae
Description: bacterial LSU rRNA
Rfam family: Bacterial large subunit ribosomal RNA
Source: RNAcentral
UGUAGUCAAGUUUCUAAGAGCAGACGGUGGAUGCCUUGGCAUCUGGAGCCGAAGAAGGACGUAUAAAUCUGCGAUAAGCCUCGGGGAGCUGAUAAUAGAGCUUUGAUCCGAGGAUUUCCGAAUGGGGAAACCCCGUCAGGCGUGGCAACACGACCUGAUGACUCCCGCCUGAAUAUAUAGGGCGGGUAGAGGGAACGUGGGGAAGUGAAACAUCUCAGUACCCACAGGAAGAGAAAGCAACCGCGAUUCCGUUAGUAGUGGCGAGCGAAACCGGAACAGGCCAAACCGAUCAUGUGUGAUAGCCGGCAGGCGUUGCAUGGUCGGGGUUGUGGGACCUUCACGUACUUCUGCCGAAGUACACGUUGACAUGCGCGAUAUAGGUGAACAGCUUUGAAAGGCUGACCACAGAGGGUGCCAGUCCCGUAACCGAAAUGUCGAGCAGCGACGGAAGGGAUCCCAAGUAGCACGGGGCCCGAGAAAUCCCGUGUGAAUCUGCCAGGACCACCUGGUAAGCCUAAAUACUCCCAGAUGACCGAUAGCGGACAAGUACCGUGAGGGAAAGGUGAAAAGUACAGUUAGUGGUAUGUGGCGAGGUUAACCCGUGAGGGGCAGCCGUAGCGAAAGCGAGUUCGAAUAGAGCGAUUCAGUCGCAUGCCCUAGACCCGAAGCGAAGUGAUCUAUCCAUGGCCAGGUUGAAGCGACGGUAAGACGUCGUGGAGGACCGAACCCACUUGGGUUGAAAACCGAGGGGAUGAGCUGUGGAUAGGGGUGAAAGGCCAAUCAAACUUCGUGAUAGCUGGUUCUCUCCGAAAUCUACAAGGUUACUGACGUCAGCCAAACUCCGAAUGCCGGUAAGUGAGAGCGCAGCAGUGAGACGGUGGGGGAUAAGCUUCAUCGUCGAGAGGGAAACAACCCAGACUACCGACUAAGGCCCCUAAGCGUGUGCUAAGUGGGAAAGGAUGUGGAGUUGCACAGACAACCAGGAGGUUGGCUUAGAAGCAGCCACCCUUGAAAGAGUGCGUAAUAGCUCACUGGUCAAGUGAUUCCGCGCCGACAAUGUAACGGGGCUCAAGCACACCGCCGAAGUCGUAGGAUUCGCAUUAUAGGUAGGCCUUCGUGGUCCAGCCGUGCGGAUCGGUAGGAGAGCGUCGUGUGGCGAGUGAAGCGGCGGGGUAACCCAGCCGUGGACGCCACACGAGUGAGAAUGCAGGCAUGAGUAGCGAAAGACAUGUGAGAAACAUGUCCUCCGAAAGACCAAGGGUUCCAGGGUCAAGCUAAUCUUCCCUGGGUAAGUCGGGACCUAAGGCGAGGCCGACAGGCGUAGUCGAUGGACAACGGGUUGAUAUUCCCGUACCGGCGAAGAACCGCCCAAGCUAAUCCAGUAGUGCUAAGAGUCCUAAUCCGGCAGAUGGAUCCCUUCGGGGUGAAGCAGCCGGCCUAACGCUCGAACCCGUGCUGGUGCGGCUAGCGUAUUAACAGGUGUGACGCAGGAAGGUAGCCGAGCCAGGCGAUGGUAGUCCUGGUGUAAGGACGUAGGGCGAGAGAUAGGCAAAUCCGUCUCUCACAUAGCCUGAGAUCUGACGCAUACCCCUCACGGGGGAAUUCGGUGAUCCUAUGCUGCCGAGAAAAGCAUCGACGCGAGGUUCCAGCCGCCCGUACCCCAAACCGACUCAGGUGGUCAGGUAGAGAAUACCAAGGAGAUCGAGAGAAUCGUGGUUAAGGAACUCGGCAAAAUGCCCCCGUAACUUCGGGAGAAGGGGGGCCUAAGGCGUGUACGGACUUGCUCCGGAAGCGCUGCAGGGCCGCAGAGACCAGUGGGAAGCGACUGUUUACUAAAAACACAGGUCCGUGCGAAGUCGCAAGACGAUGUAUACGGACUGACGCCUGCCCGGUGCUGGAAGGUUAAGAGGA